Non-coding RNA from Felis catus (domestic cat), 77 nucleotides. The record is from Rfam. NCBI's taxonomy places the organism in Eukaryota, Metazoa, Chordata, Mammalia, Carnivora, Felidae.
GCCUGGGUGGCUCAGUCGGUUAGGUGUCUGACUUUGGCUCAGGUCACAGUUUGUGGGUUCAAGCCCCGCGUCGGGCU